Cavia porcellus (domestic guinea pig) is the source of this 7095-nucleotide long non-coding RNA. RefSeq lists it as uncharacterized. Lineage: Eukaryota; Metazoa; Chordata; Mammalia; Rodentia; Caviidae. The transcript has 7 exons. The record is from RefSeq and is a predicted model, not a curated record.
CACAGGAAGUCACGGGAUGGUGGCCUGGCCCUGUGUACUCAGGACUCUGUGUCCACCCACGCUGGUGGCCUCUCACCGCCUGAGCCUGUGCUUUCCUGCCCACAUGCUUUUCCGGACCACAGGUGCCUGUUUAAACAGGGGCCUAGGUGAGGCUUCAAGUGGCACAGAGUUAACAUGCCAGAAGCAGCCUGAGGCCAGUGAGGACGGAUGGGGUGGCCCCACGCCUAGGGCGGGACAGCUCUGACAGCUCCUAUGCUGCAGUCUCCUGAUGGUGCUAAGGGGACGGAGCCCCAGUCCCCCGCAGUGGUGACUAGUUUUUCAGUGAACCAGUAGUGGCCUCUUUGCCACCCUUGCUCAAUCUACCCUCUUCCCUGGCUGCUUUCUGGCCAGGCUUGCCUCUCAGAUCAUCUGCCUUCAUGGAUUGCAAGUCUCAGGACCUGCCUGCUGGGGAUGUCAGGCUGAGACAAGGACCUUCUUGCUAUGAACCACCAAGUGCCACCAAGACACAGAACUGUUCUGUCACCACACAGAUUUCCUGCUGUUGACAUUAUCAGUUUGGCCCUGGAAACUUACUUUCUGGACUUUUAUUCCCCCGAACACCAGAGCGAUGCUUCCUAGAUCACACAGCCUGUAGCAGUCUUCUCUCUCCUCUUCCUGGCACUUGUUGAUUGAAGACCUGAGCUGAACUAUCAGUUCAUCUGAGAAGCCUCCCCAACAUCUGGGCUUAGCUAUGUUUACUCUUGUCCCCUGGAUUUGAUGACAGAGACUCGGUCUUUUGAAUGAAAAAUUCCAUUUGCUCUUGUUCACCAUUUUAUGUUCAUUCUAUGCACAUGCAAGAUCAUGCUGUGGAAGGAUAUCAAGUCUGCCCUUGAACUCACUAUGUAGACCAGGCUGGCUUUGAACUCAACAUGAUCCUCCUGUCUUAGCCUCCCAAGUACUGGGACUGCAGCUGACCUGCUGAGCCCAGCUGCCCUCCUUACAGCCGCACAGUUCAAGUCUGGAAUCUGCUGAGCUUUGCGUCCUGGCUCUGUCAGAAGACGCUGAUGUCACUCAGGUGCAAGGCCAUCAGGGGCACCUGGCAUUCUCCACUCACUUCCGGUUGACAUUCUGUCACACAGAAAGGACCCGCUGGUCACCGAUGAGAUGUGUUGGGACAGGAGGCGCAUUGAGGGAAGAAUGGUGGAACCCCACACUGCCACUGCGACACACAGGUCACAGCUGUCAUGAGACCUAGCCUUCUGGUCCCAGAGAACACGUGCAGGUCUGCUUUGCGGCACAGAAUCGCUGUGGGAUUGAGUCAGUGCCACCUCUGCUGGGGUCAUCGUGGGCUCCCAUGGCCUCAGGGAGGCAGGCACACACAUCUCAUGCAGUGAAAGGUCACCAUCCCCUCUCCGACUACCAGAGAUGGAGAGGCCCAGAGGUCACGGUGCGCAGCCGCAGUGGAUUCCUCUUGAGUUAUCGGAGGCCCAGAGACAGAGCACAACUGGCCCAAGGUCCCAUGGCUCAGAAAGGCAGAGCAGUAACUUGGAUUCACUCCUGGAUUCUCCUCUCUCCCUGUACGCAAACCAAAGGCAAACAGAGUCCAACUUCCACGUGUAACCUACAGUCUUCUCCGGAGCUUUGCUCCUGGCCUCUUUCCACCCACAUCCGGAGAGGUCCCUUUCUGUUCAUCUGAAAGGAAACCUCUGGGCCUUGAUUGCCUCUGGGCCUUGGCCCUGGGGUCCCAUGUACAGCUCCGCUGACAUUCAUAGCCACCUUAGGAAGUUGUUGUGACUCUUGGUAUGUAACUCACAAAUAUUAGUAGACACAAUUGACUUACUUACAAGGUAAGUAUCCUUGGAGUUUCAGAGCCAAUCUUACUCCUGAGUACUAGAUCUCAACCACCAUGCUGCACGGCCUGUUAACAUCUUACCCCUUCUGUUCCAAGCAUCCAGGGCUUCUCAGCAAACUUCCACAGACCCUGCAAUUUGAGUGAUUCUUUUUUCUUUGGUGAUAAAGGGGUCUUAGGGUCUGUUCACAAUUUCUGGUCUGUUCUGCUCUAGGGGCACACUCAUGACCCACAUUUAGAGAAUAAAACUUAUAAGUCUCUCAACUCACACCUGUAAAAAAUUUUGAGUGGGGCCCAGAGCAAGAGAAAACACCUCCACAGAUAUGGGCUGGUGGGUGCAUUGCUUUGUAUCUUGGACCUUAUGGGCCACCAUCACCAGCGGGCCUUGGAGUGUCUGUGGCUCCUGACUACCCCGUGAAACCUUUGUGAGCCCUUACCAGGUAGGGUAGUCACUCGACAUGGAUAACUACCAUUCUUGGAGUAACAACCGUGGCUUGUAACUGGGAACAAGUAGAGGCCUCCAGAUCACUGUGGCCCAUCAGGGACUGUGUAUCUUCGACACAUUAAAGCACCAUGUUGGGUGUGCAUGCCUCGCUGCAUCACCAAAUGAAAUGUGAUGUACAUGUAGGUCCUGAGGUGUAAAUAAGUUGCAUAAGCAAGAGGCCAAGGAGCCAAGACCCACUUUCCGGCCCAGGGCUGGCUUCGUGUGUGUGUGACCUGUGUGACCUCAUAGGCUCUGUGCUCCACUGGGCACUGUGUUUUCUUUAAUGCUUUGGUGUGAAUGUUUUGAAAUUCUUAAACAUUUUUAAUAAGGGUUCCUUCGUUUUUAUUUUGGUCUGUGUGUCUGUAAGGGUGGUUCUGGAGGAGCUUAGCAUAUGAUUCAGUUGAUUGAAUAAAAAAUGUUUACCCUCACCAGUGUGGACAGGCAUCACCUGUCCACUAAGAAUCUGGAUGGAGCAAAGAGGUGCAGGGAGGGAGAAUUCUCUCUCUCUUUUGAACGGGGACCCCCAUUUCCCCCGACCCCAUGACUACAGAGCUUCUGGUUCCCGGACCUUCGGGCUCUAAGAUUUAUGGCAUCAGUUUCUCUGGGUCAAGGGUGAGUUACAUCAUCAAUUCCUCUGGGCCUCCAGCUUGGGAACAGCAAACCGCGGGCUUCUCAGCCUGCGUGACUACAGGAGGCGACUUUCAUAGCUAGCUGCUUCCAUGUCUGUGCAUCCCACGGUUCCUGUUUCUCCGGAGAACCCCGAUGAAUUAAAGCACCCCUUCUCUUGUCUCUGUCUCCUUUUCUUUUCCUUACUUCCAUCCCCUUUCCCUCACUGGCUCCCUUUCCCAGUUGAGCAUGCUCUGCAUACUUCAUAAUAUCAAGUAUAUAUGGUUAAAGGUUGGGUCCUCCACAUCAGGUAAGGAGCUUGCCAGCUGAAAAUAUUUCCUAUAAUCAGUGGAAAUAUUGACUGGGUAGAAGACCUAAAGGUGGCCACUAUAAAUACCAGUAACUUCUAAUACAGCUAGUGGCAGAAAUGAAGAAUAAUUAUGAGUAUCCCUUUUUUAUUUUUUUAUGACUUUAUUAAUCUAUUUCUUCCCUUUUCUUUCCCCCAUUUCUGAGUGCUUGAUGACUGAUUGAGACAGGGUCUCACUAUGCAGUCCAGGCUGCUGGCCUCGAACUCACUCUGUAGCCCAGGCCUGGCCUCGAACUCACAGUGAUCCUGCCCUGGCCUCAAAGUGCUGGGGUUACAGGUGUGUACCCCGCCUUCAGCUCUCUUCUAUUUCUCUAAUACCUAAAAUAAGAGGUGUUAACAAUGGGUAACUCCUGUCACAGUGGUUAAGGUAUCAGAUAGGUGUGAAUCGGCUGAAAGAGGAGUGAGCAUUACCCAAAGAUGAACAGAAACAGCAACAACAACAAAAACAAAGGAAAAGAAGGAAGGAAAAAAGGAAGGGAGUCCAGAAAACUCUGUAUCCUGUUUCACAGAGAAAGGAGAGGAUUAGAGUGUUUUUGGUGAUAUGAGAUGGUUGUAUUAUGAUUUUGCUGUUGUUUGGUUGGGAGGUUAAGUAUCAUUUGAAGAAAUCCGUACAGACACCAGGUUUUCAAGGGGUGGACUGUGGUGGCCUUUUUUUUUUUUUUUUUUUGGAUGUAUUUCAAUUUAGUUCACCUGGAACUACAUUGCCCAGAGUUUUCCAUGCAGUUUCAGCUUACAGACUGGCUGUAUCCCUAUGCAGUCUGGAAAGGAGGAGGGAGGUCACUGUCGUCUUACACUCUGCAGGCUGUGGUAGCACAGGUGCUGUUCCAGCUCAGCACACUGUGACCGAUCCGCUGGGGGUGGGGUGGGGGGAGACCAGGCACACAGCUGUGUUGGCUGCCACCUGACCCCUCCUUCCUGCUCCGACUCCUGGGGCACCUUCAGACGGAGCUGUGUGGAAAGCUGUCAGCCAGCUCGUCUGCAGGUCUCUUGUGUAACACAGCAUAGAGGUGAUGGAUAUGAUGGCCAUGGAUUCAGUUUGCCCUUCCUGUGUCCAGCUGAGCUGGUUCUUUCUUAUUUCACAUCUGUAUCUCAUACCUACCUUCCGGCUCUGCACACGUUGGGCCCAACACGAGAGGCAGAGGUGACAGCCUUAAUAGAUUGCAUUCUGUUUCCUGUAGUGAAUUUCUAUUUCAUGUUACUCACAGUGGUUCAUCUUUCUUCACUGAACCCUGGUUGAGACACUCGGGCUGAUGGAUCCUCUCUCAAAGUCCUCGUCUGUCCAUCACCCCACUUCACGCUCACAGCAAUCCUGUGAGGUAGACAGUACUGUCCUCAUUUUGAAUGGAAGGGACUUGAAGUCAGAGAAGUAAAGUGACUUUGCUAAAAUCAUGUCGCUAGCGAACAGCACAUCCAAGACUCCAAGCCAGAACCAGCAGAUCCGCGCUUCUGUGUUCCCCAAACACUCAGAAUCUAAUUAUAUGGCUGAAUGUGUGUCUUGUUGCUGUUUUUGAGCCUUGUGUAAUUAGAGCUUAAGAAAUUACAUUUCAGCGGCUGUGAACUCGAAAUUAACCUUGCUUCUGUCUCGUGCUAUUCUCUCGCACCUCGGGUGUGUUGGGGAGGGGACAGUGGUCUUCUCCCGCUAUUAGGUAAAUCAGCAGGCCCGGUGAUUUUUUUGGUUCAUUGGUAAUUAAUGGAAAGUUCUCAAAACACGCUGGGGAGCAAAGCGUUGUUCUGAUUUAAAAUAGCUGAUUUAUAGUUAGAGUAGGCAUCUCUUCUCUGACCCCUGCCCACACCUCCUCGCUGACUGAAAUCCACUGCCCUUUAACUCCCUGCCCUGGUGGAAAGGAUGGGGGUCUUUCUUUCUGGCCUGACUCCCCAACUCUCCUUCUCCCAAAUAAUGGAAUUGGGAGGAAAAAAAAAGCAAGAAGUUCAUUUUUUUUUAAAGAAACAGUUUUACAUUCCUCAGUCAACAUACCAUCAAAUUCACUCUCUUCACGUGUGUAACUCGGCGGUCUUUAGUGGAACUAUAGCGUAGUAUAGAGCACUCUACUUUUAACGUGGUGACAACAUUCCCAUGACCCUAAAACCCUCAAACCCGUUUGCAGCUAAGCCUCCCCCCCAGUCCAGAGCAUCCGCUGUUCCGCUUUCUGGCUUUCUAUAUUUGCCUUUCCUAGGUAUUUCCUAUCAGUGGAAAUAUCAGAUAUUUCCAUGUGUUCGGAUUCUCUCAGCGUAACCUUUUGGAAGUUCAUCUAAACCAUGUCAUGUACCCGAAAUCUCUUUACUGCAGACUCCCGUUCUAGCACAUGGAUUUGCCAGGCCUUACUGAUCUGCACACCAGAUGAUGCGCGUCUGGACUGAUUCCCGUUCAAGGCACCGUGAGCAAUGAUCAUGAAACUUCACUCACCUGUCUUUGUGUGGACAUCUUUUUGUUUCUCUUAGAUCUGUUCCUAGAAGAGGACUUACUAAGUUGAAUACAAAGCUCUGACUUAAACUUUUAAGGAAUGUCUGUCCGCCCUGUGCCCCAGAGGAGCCACGCAGCCGUACCUUCUUCUCAGUCACGUGUGACGGUCCCACCCUCUCCACACCCUUACGGGCGCUUCCCAUCGUCUGUCUCUGGGGGUGGGGGGUCUUUUCUUAUGGUUUUCCCUUGCGUUUCCCUUCGAGUCUUUUCAUAGGCUUAUUAGCUACGGUGCUUCCUCUUUAGUGACGUAUCCAUUUGUAUCCUUUUGUCCAUUUUUAAAUUGGGUUGUUGGUCUUCUUAUUUAGUUGUAAGAGUUCUUUGAUUUUUCUGGACACUAUUCACUAUCAGGUAUAUGAUUUGCAAUUAUUUUCUCCAUGGCUUGUCUAUUUUUUUUUACUGUUUUAAAAAUUUUGAGCUGACAUAUAAAACCAUGCAUAGCUGUGGGUACCGUGUGAUGUUUUGACACAUGUAUGUACUGCAGAAUGUUCCGGAAUAAGACUGUCUUCUCUACGAUCAUUUCCUUGUGGUCAAAGCAUUGAAAAUCCUUUCUGUCUUAUGAAAUAUACAGUAUGUUAUCAUUGUGUACUGUUAACCUUCUAUUCACUACAACCCUAGAAUUUAUUUCUUUUAUCCAGCUAUAACCCAGUCCCACUGAUAACCUUUCUCCUAUCCUGUGUCUUCUCCCAGCUCUGGGUGACCACUGUUCCUCGCUCAACUGCUAAGAGAUCAACUUUAAAUAAGGCCAUAUCGUACUUGUGUUUCUUUGUCUGGCUUAGUUCACUCAAUGGAAUGCCCUCCUUUUCCACCAAGGCCAUCACAAACGAUAGGGCUUCAUUUUCAUGACUGUAGUGUAUUCCAUAUUACAUGUGUACUACCAUAGUAGCUUUUGAAAUGUCAAAAAUUUUAAAUUUUCAUGAGGUCAAAUUUAUCAUUUUCAAUGGAUUAUGAGUUUGAUGUUGUAUCUGAGAAGUCUUUGCUGAACCCAGCAUCACAAGGAUUUCCCUCCUACUUGUAUUCUAGGAAAUUUUAAGUUUUAGUCUAACAUCUAUUUUAAUUCAUUUUUAAAUGUGGACUUUUGACUUUCCAGCACUACUUGUUUAAAAAAAAGCCUAUCAUUUCUCACAUUGAAUUGUCAAAAAUAAACUGUACAGAAACGCAGAGUAUUAUUUAUAAAUUUUUAAUUCUGUUUCAUGGGCCUACCAGAAAGGUGCUUUUGCUGCUGAAAAUAUGGCAUGGGUAUAUCAGGUCUUGUUUAUCCACUCAAAGAUCAUAUGUAGAUUCUAGGUGCCAAUAUUCUCACUAAAAUCAUACUGUCUUGAUCACUGUAGGUUUAUAGUACAUGUUGAAAU